AAGUCGUAACAAGGUUCCGUAGGUGAACCUGCGGAAGGAUCAUUAACACGUAUCCAAACGUUAAAACAACCGUGCGUGUUCUUGCAGGACACCAAAACAGCAAUCCCGAGUAAAUCAGGCGCUAAAGAAUUACAUUUUGAUUUUGGGAAGUUCUGUGUGUACGUGGCGCUGCAAUUGAGCGCUAGAUAAAACACCCUGGUACCCUCUGAAAGCGACAAGGGAUCAAUGUUCAGAGUGGCGCAGUCAACGAUUGCUGUACACACGACCGGCGACCGUGGUGGAGCGAAAGCCCCUCCAUGUACCCUCCGGGACUUGGCGAAAGCUGACUCGUCAUAAAUUGAACAACUGUUAACAGUGGAUAUCUUGGUUCUCG
RNAcentral lists this unclassified non-coding RNA (373 nucleotides) under fungal sp. RNAcentral describes it as "partial internal transcribed spacer region". The stretch from base 1 to 45 matches the Rfam family "Eukaryotic small subunit ribosomal RNA", at positions 1786 to 1831 of the family's 1831-position model. Lineage: Eukaryota; Fungi. The record is from RNAcentral.